This 879-nucleotide ribosomal RNA is filed under the name Bacillus sp. (in: firmicutes). RNAcentral's name for it is "bacterial SSU rRNA". It matches the Rfam family "Bacterial small subunit ribosomal RNA", at positions 1 to 868 of the family's 1533-position model. Lineage: Bacteria; Bacillati; Bacillota; Bacilli; Caryophanales; Bacillaceae. The record is from RNAcentral.
UAGAGUUUGAUCCUGGCUCAGGACGAACGCUGGCGGCGUGCCUAAUACAUGCAAGUCGAGCGGAGAAAUGGGAGCUUGCUCCCAUUUCUCAGCGGCGGACGGGUGAGUAACACGUGGGCAACCUGCCCUACAGACUGGGAUAACUCCGGGAAACCGGAGCUAAUACCGGGUAAUACAUAGCAUCGCAUGAUGCAACGUUGAAAGUUGGCCUUUGGCUAACACUGUAGGAUGGGCCCGCGGCGCAUUAGCUAGUUGGUAAGGUAACGGCUUACCAAGGCCACGAUGCGUAGCCGACCUGAGAGGGUGAUCGGCCACACUGGGACUGAGACACGGCCCAGACUCCUACGGGAGGCAGCAGUAGGGAAUCUUCCGCAAUGGACGAAAGUCUGACGGAGCAACGCCGCGUGAGUGACGAAGGCCUUCGGGUCGUAAAGCUCUGUUGUUAGGGAAGAACAAGUACCGUUCGAAUAGGGCGGUACCUUGACGGUACCUAACCAGAAAGCCACGGCUAACUACGUGCCAGCAGCCGCGGUAAUACGUAGGUGGCAAGCGUUGUCCGGAAUUAUUGGGCGUAAAGCGCGCGCAGGCGGUCUCUUAAGUCUGAUGUGAAAGCCCACGGCUCAACCGUGGAGGGCCAUUGGAAACUGGGGGACUUGAGUGCAGAAGAGGAGAGUGGAAUUCCACGUGUAGCGGUGAAAUGCGUAGAUAUGUGGAGGAACACCAGUGGCGAAGGCGGCUCUCUGGUCUGUAACUGACGCUGAGGCGCGAAAGCGUGGGGAGCGAACAGGAUUAGAUACCCUGGUAGUCCACGCCGUAAACGAUGAGUGCUAGGUGUUGGGGGGUUCCACCCUCAGUGCUGAAGUUAACACAUUAAGCACU